AGGGGGCUUAGUGGUGGGGUGACUGCGUACCUUUUGUAUAAUGGGUCAGCGACUUAUAUUCUGUAGCAAGGUUAACCGUAUAGGGGAGCCGGAGGGAAACCGAGUCUUAACCGGGCGUUAAGUUGCAGGGUAUAGACCCGAAACCCGGUGAUCUAGCCAUGGGCAGGUUGAAGGUUGGGUAACACUAACUGGAGGACCGAACCGACUAAUGUUGAAAAAUUAGCGGAUGACCUGUGGCUGGGGGUGAAAGGCCAAUCAAACCGGGAGAUAGCUGGUUCUCCCCGAAAGCUAUUUAGGUAGCGCCUCGUGAAUUCAUCUCCGGGGGUAGAGCACUGUUUCGGCUAGGGGGCCAUCCCGGCUUACCAACCCGAUGCAAACUGCGAAUACCGGAGAAUGUUAUCACGGGAGACACACGGCGGGUGCUAACGUCCGUCGUGAAGAGGGAAACAACCCAGACCGCCAGCUAAGGUCCCAAAGUCAUGGUUAAGUGGGAAACGAUGUGGGAAGGCCCAGACAGCCAGGAUGUUGGCUUAGAAGCAGCCAUCAUUUAAAGAAAGCGUAAUAGCUCACUGGUCGAGUCGGCCUGCGCGGAAGAUGUAACGGGGCUAAACCAUGCACCGAAGCUGCGGCAGCGACGCUGAUGCGUUGUUGGGUAGGGGAGCGUUCUGUAAGCCUGCGAAGGUGGCCUGUGAGGGUUGCUGGAGGUAUCAGAAGUGCGAAUGCUGACAUAAGUAACGAUAAAGCGGGUGAAAAGCCCGCUCGCCGGAAGACCAAGGGUUCCUGUCCAACGUUAAUCGGGGCAGGGUGAGUCGACCCCUAAGGCGAGGCCGAAAGGCGUAGUCGAUGGGAAACGGGUUAAUAUUCCCGUACUUGGUGUUACUGCGAAGGGGGGACGGAGAAGGCUAUGUUGGCCGGGCGACGGUUGUCCCGGUUUAAGCGUGUAGGUGUGUGUUCCAGGUAAAUCCGGUU
This 969-nucleotide ribosomal RNA is filed under the name Salmonella enterica. RNAcentral's name for it is "partial 23S ribosomal RNA". It matches the Rfam family "Bacterial large subunit ribosomal RNA", at positions 575 to 1547 of the family's 2925-position model. Lineage: Bacteria; Pseudomonadati; Pseudomonadota; Gammaproteobacteria; Enterobacterales; Enterobacteriaceae. The record is from RNAcentral.